This 471-nucleotide ribosomal RNA is filed under the name uncultured Pseudomonadota bacterium. RNAcentral describes it as "bacterial SSU rRNA". It matches the Rfam family "Bacterial small subunit ribosomal RNA", at positions 432 to 896 of the family's 1533-position model. The record is from RNAcentral. Lineage: Bacteria; Pseudomonadati; Pseudomonadota.
GCUUUUGUACGGAACGAAACGGCGCUCUCUAAUACAGGGCGCUAAUGACGGUACCGUAAGAAUAAGCACCGGCUAACUACGUGCCAGCAGCCGCGGUAAUACGUAGGGUGCAAGCGUUAAUCGGAAUUACUGGGCGUAAAGCGUGCGCAGGCGGUGAUGUAAGACAGAUGUGAAAUCCCCGGGCUCAACCUGGGAACUGCAUUUGUGACUGCAUCGCUGGAGUGCGGCAGAGGGGGAUGGAAUUCCGCGUGUAGCAGUGAAAUGCGUAGAUAUGCGGAGGAACACCGAUGGCGAAGGCAAUCCCCUGGGCCUGCACUGACGCUCAUGCACGAAAGCGUGGGGAGCAAACAGGAUUAGAUACCCUGGUAGUCCACGCCCUAAACGAUGUCAACUGGUUGUUGGGUCUUCACUGACUCAGUAACGAAGCUAACGCGUGAAGUUGACCGCCUGGGGAGUACGGCCGCAAGGUUG